Molecule: transfer RNA, 72 nt
Filed under: Marmota monax (woodchuck)
Lineage: Eukaryota; Metazoa; Chordata; Mammalia; Rodentia; Sciuridae
Description: tRNA.Ala
Source: RNAcentral
GGGGAUGUGGCUAAAGUGGUAAUGUGCUCGCCUGGCAUGUGCGAGGCGCUGGGUUCGAUCCUCAGCACCACA